UUGGUCUUUGGAUUUUGUUUUGGAAUAAAAAAACAAACAAAACACCACUCACUCGUAGCGUUCUCUUCUUGUUCUUCCUCCCUCCUCCUCCUCCUCCUUCCUUCCUUCCCUUCCUUCCUGUGUCUCCUCUCCUCCUCUCUCGUCGUGCUGCUGCUGCCGCUGGGCUUGGGCUUGGGCUUGGGCUUGGGCGGGCCCUAGAUCCGGCGGUCCUCCGCCGCCGACGCCCUGCCGCCGCCGGCCUUAUCCGUUCAUCGCGCGCGCGGGGCAUCCUUAUCCUUAUCCUUAGGGCAGGGCAGGGCAGGGCAGGACCAGACCACAUGUGCCGUCAACCGUCGACACUUGAGCUGUCUCCAGAUGAGCAGCUUGCUGCUGAAGAAACCUUCAAGUUGUACUGCAAGCCAGUUGAGCUCUGCAAUGUUAUCCAAAAACGAGCCCUUGAUAAUCCCGCUUUUCUGCAAAGAUGCCUCCAUUACAUGAUACAGGCAAGCCGCAAAAAGAGGAUUCAACUAACUGUAUCCCUUUCUCGAGGCACAAAUACUGACCACAACAUCUUCCCCCUUUAUGUUUUGUUAGCUACACCUACUAGUGAUAGCAUCCCACUUGAAGGGCAUUCUCCGAUAUAUCGAUUCAGUCGUGCCUGUUUGCUUACGUCAUUCACUGAAUUUGCUAGUAAAGACCACAACAAAGCCACAUUCACAAUUCCAGACGUCAAGAAUAUAGCAACCUCCCGAGCUUGCAACCUCAGCAUUAUCCUUAUCCGUUGUGUUUCAGAUUCAGAAGGGCAGGUUGGAGAAAAUAACUGCUCUGGGGACCAUGUGGAAGCAUCUGCUCUCCGAAAGCUUGAAGGGAAAUGUUUCUGGGGUAAAAUACCAAUUAAUUUACUUGGUUCGUCGUUGGAGAAUUGCGUGACUUUAAAUUUGGGACAUACUGUGGAGUUGGCUUCUACAGUUACUAUGAACCCAAGUUUCUUAGAGCCAAAAUUUCUGGAGCAGGACAGUUGCUUGACAUUUUGCUCUCAUAAGGUUGAUGCUACGGGUUCAUAUCAACUCCAAGUUGGCAUAUCCGUUCAAGAGGCUGGUGCAAGAGACAUGUCUGAAUCUCCGUAUAAUAGUUACUCAUACAGUGAUGUCCCACCUUCAUCAUUACCUCAUAUUAUAAGGUUAAGAGCUGGUAAUGUGAUUUUCAACUUCAAGUACUACAACAAUACUAUGCAAAAGACUGAAGUCACCGAAGAUUUUGCUUGCGCCUUUUGCUUGGUAAAGUGCGGAAGCUACAAGGGCCUGGGGUGUCACUUGAACUCAACGCAUGACCUAUUCCACUUUGAGUUUUGGAUAUCUGAAGAAUGCCAGGCUGUUAAUGUUAGUCUGAAGGCUGAUGCCUGGAAAAUGGAGCUUGUGGGCAAGGGAGUUGAUCCAAGACAUCAAACAUUUUCCUACUGCUCAAGGCUUAAGAUGCGUCGUCGAAGGUCGCUAGCCACAGUUGAGAAUAUAAGCCCUGUACAUCCACAUAUCAUGGAUUCAGUUUCACCUGAAGAUGCCCAGGCAGGAUCGUCUAAAGACGAGUUUGUUCAGAGGGAAGAUGAUAAUAAUUCAGUAGCACCCGAUUCUGCCGAGCAUGAUCACUCAUUAAAUGGUAGCAAUCUUACACCACCGACAGUACUAGAGUUUGGGAAGACAAGGAAACUAUCUGCGGAGCGAAGUGAUCCCAGAAACCGACAACUUCUGCAGAAACGUCAGUUCUUCCAUUCUCACAGGGCACAGUUACAACUAGCAGGUGGCAAAUCUAAUACAGUUUUCUGCCAAGGUUUCACUUGUGCCAGCCAAUUUGAUGCCAAGGCUUCACUCCAAUGGCAGUGGAACAAGUUUUGUCAGAUCAUGACAGCGAGGAUGAAGUUGACGAUGACAUUGCCGACUUGGAAGAUAGACGGAUGCUUGCUGAUUUUCUUGAUGUCACGAAAGAUGAGAAGCUUAUUAUGCAUAUGUGGAAUUCAUUUAUUCGGAAACAAAGGGUGCUAGCUGAUGGGCAUAUACCUUGGGCCUGUGAGGGCUUCUCCCGGCUUCAUGGACCGCAGCUUGUACAAAACCCUCCUCUGCUCUGGUGCUGGCGUUUGGUGAUGAUUAAGCUGUGGAACCACAGCCUGCUGGAUGCGCGCGCCAUGAACACAUGCAACACCAUUCUUGAGGGAUACCAACCCAAGAAGAAGACGUUUUAAUUCCAAGAAGAAAAUGUUGAUGUUUGCCGGAUAAUUCUUUCCUACCAAGUCGUUUCCCCUAAGAUAGAUAUUUGUCUUUUUUUUAUUUAAAAAAGUCACUCUCCAUACUUUUGAAUGUUUAGACUUUGCACUUGUCGUUCCCCUUUUAAAUUACAAAUUCUCCAAAGAAAUUGGUAAUCAAGUCACAAAGAAUGUGUUAGCUUUCCCCGACAUAUAAAGGGCGCUUUUCUUUUA
RNA transcript from Aegilops tauschii subsp. strangulata, 2446 nucleotides. It is a transcript of the gene named polycomb group protein EMF2B, with no coding region annotated. The record is from RefSeq and is a predicted model, not a curated record. NCBI's taxonomy places the organism in Eukaryota, Viridiplantae, Streptophyta, Magnoliopsida, Poales, Poaceae.